CCUACGGGAGGCAGCAGUAAGGAAUAUUGGUCAAUGGGCGCAAGCCUGAACCAGCCAUGCCGCGUGCAGGAAGACGGCCCUAUGGGUUGUAAACUGCUUUUGAACAAGAGAAAACCUCGGUACGUGUACCGAGCUGAUAGUAUUGUUAGAAUAAGCAUCGGCUAACUUCGUGCCAGCAGCCGCGGUAAGACGAAGGAUGCAAGCGUUAUCCGGAUUCAUUGGGUUUAAAGGGUGCGUAGGCGGCCUGAUAAGUCAGUGGUGAAAUCUCUCAGCUUAACUGAGAAACUGCCAUUGAUACUGUCGGGCUUGAGUACAGAUGAUGUGGGCGGAAUAUGACAUGUAGUGGUGAAAUACUUAGAUAUGUCAUAGAACACCGAUUGCGAAGGCAGCUCACAAAACUGUAACUGACGCUGAGGCACGAAAGUGCGGGGAUCAAACAGGAUUAGAUACCCUGGUAGUCCGCACCGUAAACGAUGAUUACUCGUUGUUGGCAAUAUGACCGUCAGCGACCAAGCGAAAGCGANAAGUAAUCCACCUGGGGAGUACGCCGGCGAACGGUGAAACGUCAAAGAGUUAGUUAGACGNGAGGAGNGCGACGGAGACACACGGGAGGUAGG
This 617-nucleotide ribosomal RNA is filed under the name uncultured bacterium. Its description in RNAcentral is "bacterial SSU rRNA". It matches the Rfam family "Bacterial small subunit ribosomal RNA", at positions 338 to 960 of the family's 1533-position model. The record is from RNAcentral.